Molecule: ribosomal RNA, 472 nt
Filed under: uncultured bacterium
Lineage: Bacteria
Description: partial 16S ribosomal RNA
Rfam family: Bacterial small subunit ribosomal RNA
Source: RNAcentral
GACGAACGCUGGCGGCGUGCUUAACACAUGCAAGUCGAACGCUGAAGCUUGGUGCUUGCCCUGGGUGGAUGAGUGGCGAACGGGUGAGUAAUAAGUAAGUAACCUGCCCUUGACUCUGGGAUAAGCCUGGGAAACUGGGUCUAAUACUGGAUACGACAUGUCACCGCAUGGUGGUGUGUGGAAAGGGUUUUACUGGUUUUGGAUGGGCUCACGGCCUAUCAGCUUGUUGGUGGGGUAAUGGCUCACCAAGGCGACGACGGGUAGCCGGCCUGAGAGGGUGACCGGCCACACUGGGACUGAGACACGGCCCAGACUCCUACGGGAGGCAGCAGUGGGGAAUAUUGCACAAUGGGCGGAAGCCUGAUGCAGCGACGCCGCGUGAGGGAUGACGGCCUUCGGGUUGUAAACCUCUUUCAGCACGGAAGAAGCGAAAGUGACGGUACGUGCAGAAGAAGCGCCGGCUAACUACGUG